This 431-nucleotide ribosomal RNA is filed under the name uncultured bacterium. Its description in RNAcentral is "partial 16S ribosomal RNA". It matches the Rfam family "Bacterial small subunit ribosomal RNA", at positions 29 to 507 of the family's 1533-position model. The record is from RNAcentral.
AACGAACGCUGGCGGCAGGCUUAACACAUGCAAGUCGGGCGCCCCGCAAGGGGAGCGGCAGACGGGUGAGUAACGCGUGGGAACGUACCUUUUGGUUCGGAACAACUCCGGGAAACUGGAGCUAAUACCGGAUAAGCCCUAACGGGGAAAGAUUUAUCGCCGAAAGAUCGGCCCGCGUCUGAUUAGCUAGUUGGUGAGGUAACGGCUCACCAAGGCGACGAUCAGUAGCUGGUCUGAGAGGAUGAUCAGCCACACUGGGACUGAGACACGGCCCAGACUCCUACGGGAGGCAGCAGUGGGGAAUAUUGGACAAUGGGCGCAAGCCUGAUCCAGCCAUGCCGCGUGAGUGAUGAAGGCCUUAGGGUUGUAAAGCUCUUUUGUCCGGGAAGAUAAUGACUGUACCGGAAGAAUAAGCCCCGGCUAACUUCGUG